This 332-nucleotide ribosomal RNA is filed under the name uncultured Allapsidae. RNAcentral's name for it is "SSU rRNA". The stretch from base 54 to 332 matches the Rfam family "Eukaryotic small subunit ribosomal RNA", at positions 679 to 955 of the family's 1831-position model. Lineage: Eukaryota; Cercozoa; Glissomonadida; Viridiraptoridae. The record is from RNAcentral.
GAUUUCUGACGAAACUGCUAGCUGGCCCGCCACGUCAGUGUGUGAGUGCCGGCUUGGCGUUUGUCAUCCGUUCGAACGAUAUGCGCGCUGCCCUUCACUGGGUUGGCGCUGCAUGUUUUCGAUCUUUUACUUUGAAAAAAUUAGAGUGUUUCAAGCAGGCAUUUUUGCUAUGAAUACAUUAGCAUGGAAUAAUAAUCUAGGACUUUCGGUUCUAUUUUGUUGGUGUUCUGGAGCUGAAGUAAUGAUUGAUAGGGAUAGUUGGGGGUGCUAGUAUUCAAUGGCCAGAGGUGAAAUUCUCGGAUUCCUUGAAGACUAACUUAUGCGAAAGCAUU